AUUGCAACUCCUGACAAAGGUUG
Molecule: non-coding RNA, 23 nt
Filed under: Arabidopsis thaliana (thale cress)
Lineage: Eukaryota; Viridiplantae; Streptophyta; Magnoliopsida; Brassicales; Brassicaceae
Source: RNAcentral